GGGAUGAAUGGGAUGCCCAAUACCAGGGCUUUGACCUGAAUGUGUUGGCCCAAAGUCAUUGAUCAUGGCAUGAGCUAGAGGUGGCAGGGGAGGCGCCACACCUUCGUCAACUGCUGAUGUACGAGGAGACAGUAAUAUGGCUUCAUGAGUAAUUGCAUCACUUGUGGCCAUCAUGUCAUGAUGAUCAUCAUGGAACUUACCUCCGUGCUUAUUAGUUUCCUUUUCAUGGAUUUUGUUAUGAGUUUGGAGUGUUUGAAAUUCGUUAUUCUUCCCUACAAGCAAACGCCUUCCCUCAAUGAACCAAGUUUCUUCGGUGAAAAUCAAAACAAAGAAAAGACAGGCGGAGAUUAAAAUUUUGUUCUGGGCCAUGGAUCAGGCUGAGAGAUUGAAAGACAACUGGUUAUACAAGGAGAGAGCGAGAGAGAUGGGAAGAACCAAAUAAGCUAAAUUAAGCAAACUGAUAGUUGCCUAGCUUGAGACUAGAGUAAUUAUAUCUGCUAAGCAUGUAAGUUUCCAAGAAACUUAAAGCAACCUCAGCAUAUGAAUUGCCUAAAACCUUAGCUCUGGCGAUAUUUAUAGAGUUUACAAGGAGAGAUCUAGAGAUAAUGGGACAAGUGGAACGUCCAUGCAUGUGCAAACGCAACAACAAGAGCCUACAGUAAAUGUAAUGGGCCGGCCAUUUGAUGGUGGAAGAUUAUUUUCAACCGUAUGGGUUUGAGGAAAUCAAGGAUCUGUUAUAAAUGGGCAUGGGAUCACAAAAUUGUAUACUUCUUCUACCGGAUGAAACUAAAAAUCAAGACCAGUGAAGGCUGUAGUUGGUCAAUUUGAGUAUUUUGUACAGGAACUGAAUUUGCAUAUGGGCAAACUAGUAGUGGCAAGACUUUCACCAUGAAUGGCUCUAAAACUGAUCCAGGGAUUAUUUGCUAGGUAGUUAAAGAUAUAUUUGCAAAAAUUCAGAUGAUAUCUGACCGUGAAUUUCUGAUUCGGGUUUCCUAUAUGGAAAUUUAUAAUGAAGAAAUUAAUGAUCUUUUAGCCGUAGAGAACCAGAAAUUGCAAAUACAUGAGAGUUUGGAGGUCUAAGGGAGGAAAUUGUUAGCAACGCCGAGCAAGUGUUGAAGCUCAUAGAUUCAGGAGAAGUUAAUAGGCACUUUGGUGAGACUAAUAUGAAUGUUCAUAGUAGUAGAUCACACCAAUAUUUAGCCAGUGAUUGAAAGCAAGAUGAAGGACAAUGGUGGUUUUUUCAAUGAAAAAUGACGGAUAAAUUCCGAGGUUGGUGAGAUAAAUGUUUUAACCUUUGAGAAGAAGGGUUUGCGGGGAAAAGUUGCACUUCACUCUUGGGGCUGAAUAGUACCAGUGCACUGCCUGUUGUCUCAUUUUGUGUUUCCAAGACAUACGUUGCAUCCGUGUUGGAUCUGAUUGCUUUGAUGAGUGCUUUAAAGGGAUUUAAAGUGUAUACAUGCAACAUAUGGGGGUGGAUCUUCCUACUGCAUAGCAAAUGAGCAAUUGUACCAACUCUGACCAUGGAGCAAUGAUGGGCCCGAGAUGCACUUAAUACAAAGAUUAAGGUAACUGCCUAAAAUUGAUUUUAUGAUCAGUUCAUUUUCCUCUUUUAAAUAUUAGUUUUGAGGGUUCAUCUUCCAAUUACUUGAAUAUAUUAUAAUUGGGUUUCACUGUUUUCAUGAUCACCGGAAAAUACGGAUGUACUGACUUCCAUGCAAUAGAUCAGAAGAGUAAUUGAAUAGUGAUAUGGCCAUUCAAGCUUGGGCAAUCACAAAAAUAGGCAUCAGUUUUCUAUAUUCGUGCUCGCCACCUUUGUUAAUCAAAUGCCCAAAGUGCCCAAGUGUGGGUGGAAAUGUCGAAACAUAAGUCUCACUUAAAAGUUUCAAUGUGUAACUUGGUAUAGAUUAUUUUAGUGAUACUACAAUCUUCAAAUCAAUUAUAUAAUAGUGAUGAUAGUUUAUUAUGUAAUUAAUAGCUCAGCUUGUAUUUGAGAUAUGAUCAAUAAGAAUUUCCACCCAAUGAUAAUUUAUA
Long non-coding RNA from Carya illinoinensis, 2031 nucleotides. RefSeq lists it as uncharacterized. The transcript has 8 exons. The record is from RefSeq and is a predicted model, not a curated record. Lineage: Eukaryota; Viridiplantae; Streptophyta; Magnoliopsida; Fagales; Juglandaceae.